Molecule: small nuclear RNA, 120 nt
Filed under: Vicugna pacos (alpaca)
Lineage: Eukaryota; Metazoa; Chordata; Mammalia; Artiodactyla; Camelidae
Description: U4 spliceosomal RNA (ENSVPAG00000016650.1)
Rfam family: U4 spliceosomal RNA
About the family: U4 small nuclear RNA (U4 snRNA) is a component of the major U2-dependent spliceosome. The structure of U4 snRNA from yeast and human has been reported. U4 snRNA presents a k-turn RNA motif in the 5p-SL related to recognition of Snu13 protein.
Source: RNAcentral
AGCUUUGCACAGUGGCAAUAUCAUAGCCAAUGAGGUUUAUCCGAGGCGCGAUUAUUGCUAAUAGAAAACCUUCUUGCCUAUCAAGCUUACCUCUUUAAUUUAUUCUAAAUUAUCAUCACU